GCUGGUUUUUUUUUCCGCGGUGAUACUUCAAUGCGAAUGUGUAUCACCGGGUAAAAACUGGUAGA
This 65-nucleotide microRNA precursor is filed under the name Caenorhabditis briggsae. RNAcentral describes it as "microRNA cbr-mir-35g precursor (cbr-mir-35g-1)". Its record names the gene cbr-mir-35g-1. Lineage: Eukaryota; Metazoa; Nematoda; Chromadorea; Rhabditida; Rhabditidae. The record is from miRBase by way of RNAcentral.